Molecule: ribosomal RNA, 253 nt
Filed under: uncultured bacterium
Lineage: Bacteria
Description: partial 16S ribosomal RNA
Rfam family: Bacterial small subunit ribosomal RNA
Source: RNAcentral
UACGAAGGGGGCGAGCGUUGUUCGGAAUUACUGGGCGUAAAGGGCGCGUAGGCGGCAAUUCAAGUCAGCUGUGAAAUCUCCGGGCUUAACUCGGAACGGUCAGCUGAUACUGCUUUGCUAGAGUACAGAAGGGGCAAUCGGAAUUCCUGGUGUAGCGGUGAAAUGCGCAGAUAUCAGGAGGAACACCGAUGGCGAAGGCAGGUCUCUGGGCAUUAACUGACGCUGAGGAGCGAAAGCAUGGGGAGCGAACAGG